This 2606-nucleotide ribosomal RNA is filed under the name Escherichia coli. Its description in RNAcentral is "partial 23S ribosomal RNA". It matches the Rfam family "Bacterial large subunit ribosomal RNA", at positions 165 to 2795 of the family's 2925-position model. The record is from RNAcentral. Lineage: Bacteria; Pseudomonadati; Pseudomonadota; Gammaproteobacteria; Enterobacterales; Enterobacteriaceae.
CAUAGGUUAAUGAGGCGAACCGGGGGAACUGAAACAUCUAAGUACCCCGAGGAAAAGAAAUCAACCGAGAUUCCCCCAGUAGCGGCGAGCGAACGGGGAGCAGCCCAGAGCCUGAAUCAGUGUGUGUGUUAGUGGAAGCGUCUGGAAAGGCGCGCGAUACAGGGUGACAGCCCCGUACACAAAAAUGCACAUGCUGUGAGCUCGAUGAGUAGGGCGGGACACGUGGUAUCCUGUCUGAAUAUGGGGGGACCAUCCUCCAAGGCUAAAUACUCCUGACUGACCGAUAGUGAACCAGUACCGUGAGGGAAAGGCGAAAAGAACCCCGGCGAGGGGAGUGAAAAAGAACCUGAAACCGUGUACGUACAAGCAGUGGGAGCACGCUUAGGCGUGUGACUGCGUACCUUUUGUAUAAUGGGUCAGCGACUUAUAUUCUGUAGCAAGGUUAACCGAAUAGGGGAGCCGAAGGGAAACCGAGUCUUAACUGGGCGUUAAGUUGCAGGGUAUAGACCCGAAACCCGGUGAUCUAGCCAUGGGCAGGUUGAAGGUUGGGUAACACUAACUGGAGGACCGAACCGACUAAUGUUGAAAAAUUAGCGGAUGACUUGUGGCUGGGGGUGAAAGGCCAAUCAAACCGGGAGAUAGCUGGUUCUCCCCGAAAGCUAUUUAGGUAGCGCCUCGUGAAUUCAUCUCCGGGGGUAGAGCACUGUUUCGGCAAGGGGGUCAUCCCGACUUACCAACCCGAUGCAAACUGCGAAUACCGGAGAAUGUUAUCACGGGAGACACACGGCGGGUGCUAACGUCCGUCGUGAAGAGGGAAACAACCCAGACCGCCAGCUAAGGUCCCAAAGUCAUGGUUAAGUGGGAAACGAUGUGGGAAGGCCCAGACAGCCAGGAUGUUGGCUUAGAAGCAGCCAUCAUUUAAAGAAAGCGUAAUAGCUCACUGGUCGAGUCGGCCUGCGCGGAAGAUGUAACGGGGCUAAACCAUGCACCGAAGCUGCGGCAGCGACGCUUAUGCGUUGUUGGGUAGGGGAGCGUUCUGUAAGCCUGUGAAGGUGUACUGUGAGGUAUGCUGGAGGUAUCAGAAGUGCGAAUGCUGACAUAAGUAACGAUAAAGCGGGUGAAAAGCCCGCUCGCCGGAAGACCAAGGGUUCCUGUCCAACGUUAAUCGGGGCAGGGUGAGUCGACCCCUAAGGCGAGGCCGAAAGGCGUAGUCGAUGGGAAACAGGUUAAUAUUCCUGUACUUGGUGUUACUGCGAAGGGGGGACGGAGAAGGCUAUGUUGGCCGGGCGACGGUUGUCCCGGUUUAAGCGUGUAGGCUGGUUUUCCAGGCAAAUCCGGAAAAUCAAGGCUGAGGCGUGAUGACGAGGCACUACGGUGCUGAAGCAACAAAUGCCCUGCUUCCAGGAAAAGCCUCUAAGCAUCAGGUAACAUCAAAUCGUACCCCAAACCGACACAGGUGGUCAGGUAGAGAAUACCAAGGCGCUUGAGAGAACUCGGGUGAAGGAACUAGGCAAAAUGGUGCCGUAACUUCGGGAGAAGGCACGCUGAUAUGUAGGUGAAGUCCCUCGCGGAUGGAGCUGAAAUCAGUCGAAGAUACCAGCUGGCUGCAACUGUUUAUUAAAAACACAGCACUGUGCAAACACGAAAGUGGACGUAUACGGUGUGACGCCUGCCCGGUGCCGGAAGGUUAAUUGAUGGGGUUAGCGCAAGCGAAGCUCUUGAUCGAAGCCCCGGUAAACGGCGGCCGUAACUAUAACGGUCCUAAGGUAGCGAAAUUCCUUGUCGGGUAAGUUCCGACCUGCACGAAUGGCGUAAUGAUGGCCAGGCUGUCUCCACCCGAGACUCAGUGAAAUUGAACUCGCUGUGAAGAUGCAGUGUACCCGCGGCAAGACGGAAAGACCCCGUGAACCUUUACUAUAGCUUGACACUGAACAUUGAGCCUUGAUGUGUAGGAUAGGUGGGAGGCUUUGAAGUGUGGACGCCAGUCUGCAUGGAGCCGACCUUGAAAUACCACCCUUUAAUGUUUGAUGUUCUAACGUUGACCCGUAAUCCGGGUUGCGGACAGUGUCUGGUGGGUAGUUUGACUGGGGCGGUCUCCUCCUAAAGAGUAACGGAGGAGCACGAAGGUUGGCUAAUCCUGGUCGGACAUCAGGAGGUUAGUGCAAUGGCAUAAGCCAGCUUGACUGCGAGCGUGACGGCGCGAGCAGGUGCGAAAGCAGGUCAUAGUGAUCCGGUGGUUCUGAAUGGAAGGGCCAUCGCUCAACGGAUAAAAGGUACUCCGGGGAUAACAGGCUGAUACCGCCCAAGAGUUCAUAUCGACGGCGGUGUUUGGCACCUCGAUGUCGGCUCAUCACAUCCUGGGGCUGAAGUAGGUCCCAAGGGUAUGGCUGUUCGCCAUUUAAAGUGGUACGCGAGCUGGGUUUAGAACGUCGUGAGACAGUUCGGUCCCUAUCUGCCGUGGGCGCUGGAGAACUGAGGGGGGCUGCUCCUAGUACGAGAGGACCGGAGUGGACGCAUCACUGGUGUUCGGGUUGUCAUGCCAAUGGCACUGCCCGGUAGCUAAAUGCGGAAGAGAUAAGUGCUGAAAGCAUCUAAGCACGAAACUU